CAGCCGCCGCGGGAAAACGGAGGAUCCGAGCGUUAUCCGGAAUUAUUGGGUUUAAAGGGUGCGUAGGCGGAUAGAUAAGUCAGUGGUGAAAGACGGUGGCUCAACCAUCGCAGUGCCGUUGAUACUGUUUAUCUUGAAUAUGGAUGAGGUAGGCGGAAUGUGGCAAGUAGCGGUGAAAUGCAUAGAUAUGCCACAGAACACCGAUUGCGAAGGCAGCUUACCAAGGCAAAAUUGACGCUGAGGCACGAAAGCGUGGGGAUCGAACAGGAUUAGAUACCCGCGUAGUCCCUGUCUCUUAUAC
RNAcentral lists this ribosomal RNA (301 nucleotides) under uncultured bacterium. Its description in RNAcentral is "partial 16S ribosomal RNA". It matches the Rfam family "Bacterial small subunit ribosomal RNA", at positions 509 to 807 of the family's 1533-position model. The record is from RNAcentral.